This 431-nucleotide ribosomal RNA is filed under the name Penicillium sp. RNAcentral's name for it is "SSU rRNA". It matches the Rfam family "Eukaryotic small subunit ribosomal RNA", at positions 572 to 1008 of the family's 1831-position model. Lineage: Eukaryota; Fungi; Ascomycota; Eurotiomycetes; Eurotiales; Aspergillaceae. The record is from RNAcentral.
AGCCGCGGUAAUUCCAGCUCCAAUAGCGUAUAUUAAAGUUGUUGCAGUUAAAAAGCUCGUAGUUGAACCUUGGGUCUGGCUGGCCGGUCCGCCUCACCGCGAGUACUGGUCCGGCUGGACCUUUCCUUCUGGGGAACCCCAUGGCCUUCACUGGCUGUGGGGGGAACCAGGACUUUUACUGUGAAAAAAUUAGAGUGUUCAAAGCAGGCCUUUGCUCGAAUACAUUAGCAUGGAAUAAUAGAAUAGGACGUGCGGUUCUAUUUUGUUGGUUUCUAGGACCGCCGUAAUGAUUAAUAGGGAUAGUCGGGGGCGUCAGUAUUCAGCUGUCAGAGGUGAAAUUCUUGGAUUUGCUGAAGACUAACUACUGCGAAAGCAUUCGCCAAGGAUGUUUUCAUUAAUCAGGGAACGAAAGUUAGGGGAUCGAAGACGAU